UCGGGCCUGCAGUGGGUACGGGCAGACUAGAGUGCGGUAGGGGAGAUUGGAAUUCCUGGUGUAGCGGUGGAAUGCGCAGAUAUCAGGAGGAACACCGAUGGCGAAGGCAGAUCUCUGGGCCGUAACUGACGCUGAGGAGCGAAAGGGUGGGGAGCAAACAGGCUUAGAUACCCUGGUAGUCCACCCCGUAAACGUUGGGAACUAGUUGUGGGGACCAUUCCACGGUUUCCGUGACGCAGCUAACGCAUUAAGUUCCCCGCCUGGGGAGUACGGCCGCAAGGCUAAAACUCAAAGGAAUUGACGGGGACCCGCACAAGCGGCGGAGCAUGCGGAUUAAUUCGAUGCAACGCGAAGAACCUUACCAAGGCUUGACAUAUACGAGAACGGGCCAGAAAUGGUCAACUCUUUGGACACUCGUAAACAGGUGGUGCAUGGUUGUCGUCAGCUCGUGUCGUGAGAUGUUGGGUUAAGUCCCGCAACGAGCGCAACCCUCGUUCUAUGUUGCCAGCACGUAAUGGUGGGAACUCAUGGGAUACUGCCGGGGUCAACUCGGAGGAAGGUGGGGAUGACGUCAAAUCAUCAUGCCCCUUAUGUCUUGGGCUUCACGCAUGCUACAAUGGCCGGUACAAAGGGCUGCAAUACCGUAAGGCGGAGCGAAUCCCAAAAAGCCCCUCCCAGUUCGGAUUGAGGUCUGCAACUCGACCUCAUGAAGUCGGAGUCGCUAGUAAUCGCAGAUCAGCAACGCUGCGGUGAAUACGUUCCCCGGUCUUGUACACACCGCCCGUCAAGUCAUGAAAGUCAGUAACACCUGAAGCCGGUNGCCCAACCCUUG
This 832-nucleotide ribosomal RNA is filed under the name Microbacterium sp. RNAcentral describes it as "bacterial SSU rRNA". It matches the Rfam family "Bacterial small subunit ribosomal RNA", at positions 615 to 1444 of the family's 1533-position model. Lineage: Bacteria; Bacillati; Actinomycetota; Actinomycetes; Micrococcales; Microbacteriaceae. The record is from RNAcentral.